AACGCACGAGACCUGCGGACCUGCGGAAGGAUCAUUACCGAGUUUACAACUCCCAAACCCAAUGUGAACGUUACCAAACUGUUGCCUCGGCGGGAUCUCUGCCCCGGGUGCGUCGCAGCCCCGGACCAAGGCGCCCGCCGGAGGACCAACCAAAACUCUUUUUGUAUACCCCCUCGCGGGUUUUUAUAUCUGAGCCAUCUCGGCGCCUCUCGUAGGCGUUUCGAAAAUGAAUCAAAACUU
This 240-nucleotide unclassified non-coding RNA is filed under the name soil metagenome. RNAcentral describes it as "partial contains 5.8S ribosomal RNA, internal transcribed spacer 2, and large subunit ribosomal RNA". The record is from RNAcentral.